UACGGAGGGUGCAAGCGUUAAUCGGAAUCACUGGGCGUAAAGCGCUCGUAGGCGGCAUGGUCAGUCAGACGUGAAAUCCCGUGGCUUAACCGCGGAACUGCGUUUGAUACUGCCAGGCUUGAGUGUCGGAGAGGGUGGCGGAAUUCCGGGUGUAGGAGUGAAAUCCGUAGAUAUCCGGAGGAACACCAGUGGCGAAGGCGGCCACCUGGACGACAACUGACGCUGAGGAGCGAAAGCGUGGGGAGCAAACAGG
RNAcentral lists this ribosomal RNA (253 nucleotides) under uncultured bacterium. RNAcentral's name for it is "partial 16S ribosomal RNA". It matches the Rfam family "Bacterial small subunit ribosomal RNA", at positions 524 to 776 of the family's 1533-position model. The record is from RNAcentral.